This 376-nucleotide unclassified non-coding RNA is filed under the name uncultured Pseudobdellovibrionaceae bacterium. RNAcentral's name for it is "uncultured Bdellovibrionaceae bacterium contains 16S-23S intergenic spacer region". Lineage: Bacteria; Pseudomonadati; Bdellovibrionota; Bdellovibrionia; Bdellovibrionales; Pseudobdellovibrionaceae. The record is from RNAcentral.
UCCGUCUUAACGCCGGCGGUCCCUUUAGAGUGCCUAACUAAAUAUUGGCAACUAAAGGCAAGGGUUGCGCUCGUUGCGGGACUUAACCCAACAUCUCACGACACGAGCUGACGACAGCCAUGCAGCACCUGUGUACAGACCCUUGCGGGCGACAAUAUCUCUACUGUCUUCCUGUACAUUUCAAACCCAGGUAAGGUUGUUCGCGUUGCAUCGAAUUGAACCACAUGCUCCACUGCUUGUGCGGGCCCCCGUCAAUUUCUUUGAGUUUUAAUCUUGCGACCGUACUCCCCAGGCGGGAUACUUACCGCGUUUGCUACGACACUGAAGGGGUCAAAACCUCCAACAUCAAGUAUCCAUCGUUUACGGCGUGGACUAC